AACAUGGUUUCUUGUAAUUAUUUAAGAGAUCUGACCUGCCCACUGAAGAUAUUUUGAAGGGCCGCAGUAUUUUGACUGUGCAAAGGUAGCAUAAUCAUUAGUCUUUUAAUUAAAGGCUGGUAUGAAUGGUUGGAUGAGGUAAAUUCUGUUUUAUAUUAAUUGGUGUUGAAUUUAGAUUUUAAGUAAAAAUACUUAAAUGUUAUUAAGGGACGAGAAGACCCUAUAGAGUUUAAUAAAUGUAGUAAAUAAUUGAGUUAAAUCUUAAUUUUUGGUUUUUAUGUAAUUUAUUUAAUUGGGGUGAUUGGAAAGAUAAAAUAAACUCUUCUUUGUAUUUAAUAAAUUAAUUAGUUUUAUGAUCCAUAUUUAAUGAUUAAAAGAUUAAAUUACCUUAGGGAUAACAGCAUAAUUCUUUUUAAGAGUUCAUAUCGAAAAAAGAGAUUGUGACCUCGAUGUUGGAUUAAGAUUAGUUAUGGGUGCAGAUGUUCAAUAACUAGGUCUGUUCGACCUUGAAAAUCUUACAUGAUCUGAGUUCA
RNAcentral lists this ribosomal RNA (533 nucleotides) under Tenodera superstitiosa bokiana. RNAcentral describes it as "partial 16S ribosomal RNA". It matches the Rfam family "Archaeal large subunit ribosomal RNA", at positions 1904 to 2682 of the family's 2987-position model. Lineage: Eukaryota; Metazoa; Arthropoda; Insecta; Mantodea; Mantidae. The record is from RNAcentral.